CCUGCGUCUUAGUUUCGCUUUCAAUACAUCAGCGUGGAGUCCCGCCCAGUAGAGUACAGCGAGCCAAUCAGCGGCCCGCGGCUCAGAGGCCCCGCCCCCGAGCGGAGUCGGAGAUGAAGGCUGUAGAGGUCUUUGCUAACGGAGUGUGUCUCUGUACAAGGAACCUGGUGACUGAAGCCUCAUCUGAGGCUCACAUUGACAGCCUGUUAUGAUUAUUAUAUAUCAUUGAUUGUGGAGACGCCAAAACUUGUCUUUGAAGGCACAGUUCCAGAAAUCUCAACCUUAAAAGCUUCUAAAGCUUCAUAUUAGAAUAGAAUAUUAAUCCCGUGAGGAACAGGAGUGCUGUGACUUGUGUUCAUGACCACGUGUGUGUGUGUGUGUGUGUGUGUGUUUAAGAGCCACGCCUUGAGCACAUGUUCAGCGCUGUCCUGAGACACCUUGCAUACAAACCACAUCCUGAUUCACCCAAGAUACUAGAUCUGCUGCUUUCUUCUUCUUCUUCUUUUUUUAAGAGUCGGACAAGCCAUGGAUUUUGAGAAUCACAGCCAAGGAUGUAAAAACUGCCAAACGGAUUGCAAUGACAAAUGCCAGUGUCACUGCCACACGGUAACCCAAAGUCUCAAACCUAUGCCAAGGACUGAGGAGACGACGUCCGAGAUGCCUGAAGGGCCUUCAAAAGAGUUUGGCCCCUGUCAUUGUGGCUACUGUUAUUUCGUCCCCUGUGACUCUGGCCCUGGGGAUGGCGGCUCCGGGGAUGGUGGCCCCUGUGACUGCGGCCCCUGUGACUGCGGCUCCUGUGAUUGUGGCUCCUGUGAUUGUGGCUCCUGUGAUUGUGGCUCCUGUAAUUGUGGCCCCUGUGAUUGUAUUAUUCAGUGAAUGUUUGCAGCAUAUUGGACAGACAGUAUUAAGUGAUUCAUCUCUCCGGAGUAGAUGGAUUUGUGGAGACAACGCAGCACUCAGGACCGGUUUCAGGGGUUUCGAAGACGACAACGAUGUGAUCUACAGUAAACUUCAGGACGUCUUGAACAUCAUAAAGACAAUAUUACAUAAAUACAGUUCCAUACUACAGCCACUGUGUAACCGAUACAGAUAUAUGGUUUUUUCUCUCCCUUUUAUUAAAAAUAUUUCCGAACAGUUGAACUAUAUUAUGAAAUAUCUUGAUUCUGAAAUAUGUAAUGCUCCUCACUUCCUGUAUACAAAUCUACAGCAAAACCAGAGUAAGGACAUUUCAGCUUAGAGUGAUAAAGAAUAUACUGUGAAUCUAGCCAAUUAUGUAUCAAGUUAUUCUCUCAUUAUAAUCGUGUAUCUGCCUCUGUGUGUGAAGGCCUGCAUGAAUGGAAUGUGUUUAUGGUAAAGCUGUGCAUGUUUUAACAUGAGACUAAACAUACGUGUUGCUGCCUGUUCCUGUAAAAGGAACCUUCCACUUUUUUCUGGAAAAAGCUCCCCCAGAGUUAAGAAGUUGAGUUUUACUGUUUUUGAAUCCAUUCAGCCGAUCUCCUGAUCUGUUGAUAGCACUUUUAGCAUAGCUUAGCAUAGAUCAUUGAAUCCGAUUAGACCAGUAGCAUUGAGUUAAAAAUGAUUUAAAACUAUUUAAAACUGAACUUUUCUGUAGAUAUAUUGUAUACUAAGACACACAGACUUUCUAGACUGAUAUGAAUAGGAACUGUACUCUAAUUCUGGCGUAAUAAUUAAAGAAGUGAUGUAACUACAGAAGAUGCUACUUGGAUUCAAUGAUCAAUGCUAUCAACAGACCCAGGAUCGGCUGAAUGGAUUCAAAAACGGCAAUAAACUCAAUUUAUUCACUUCUGGGGAAUUGGAGGAGGAGCCUAUUUUCAGAAGAAGUGGAGUGUUUCUUUUAAAGGUCCCAUAUUGUACAGCUUUCUGGAGUUUUAAGAAUGUCCAUAAGAAUAUAUAUUUGUGGUAUAUGUACCUGACACCAUCUCAGUAUUUUUUACAGCCAAAAGCUGGUAGAUUUUGGCCAGUCUAAUUAAUAUUCAUGAGCCUCUCUUCUGAGGUUUUGCAUCACAGUGCUAGCUAGAUAUAAAACAAAGGAAAAACUCAAGAUUCGGCUACAUAAGGAGCUGAAAAUAUCAUCUGGUUGUGGUGUUGGGUGCCAGACUUGACAAUAAUAUAAAAUCUGAAAUUUUAUUGCAUACCUGCUCCCACUGCCAGACCAAAAAAAUGAUGGCAGCUGUGAUUAAACGUGAAAAACAUGAGCGGACUGGAGAGAAACAAGUUUACACACUUAACAGAAACGUAUUGUCUUUUGUUGUUAUGUUUUAUCGCAUGUGCUUAAAACAACAAGUUGAAGUUUUAUGUAUAAUGAUGUGUAAUUGUAUGUGCAUUGCUGGGAUUAACUGUAGCUGGAAUAAUAACGUAUCUGUAAAAGUAGUAGCCGGGUGAUGACUGAAUGUAAGUGGAUUAGACGUCACAUUUUUACGGAAGUCACUGUGAAAAAUCACAGCUACUGCACUGUGUGCCGUUUUGAAACUUAUAUGGUACUUACAAAGCACCUAGACCACACUUAUGACAAAAGACAGGAAAUUUGACAAAAUGGGACUUUUAAAGGAAUAGUUGACUCAAAAAAUGAAAAUUACCCCAUAUUUUAUUCCCCCCGAAGCCAUCCUAGGUCUUUAUGACUUUCUUCUUUCAGAUGAACACAGGCUCUUCUAAGCUUGGCAAUGCUACUUGACAGCGGCCAUUGUUUUAAACCCCGACAUACUACGACAUAAAACUAACCUAUACACCUUCAGAGUCUAUCACAUGUCCUCUGAAGCAGAGCGAAGGGGUUGGGGAACUAUUCCUUUGAAAAUUAAUGAAUUAUAAAAUGAAUUGGGGUCUACUGUCUCAACCUUAUGGUCUCUGACAAUAAAGUCUACCUUCUCUGACAUCAAAA
Puntigrus tetrazona (Sumatra barb) is the source of this 2896-nucleotide long non-coding RNA. RefSeq lists it as uncharacterized. The transcript has 3 exons. NCBI's taxonomy places the organism in Eukaryota, Metazoa, Chordata, Actinopteri, Cypriniformes, Cyprinidae. The record is from RefSeq and is a predicted model, not a curated record.